Microtus ochrogaster (prairie vole) is the source of this 837-nucleotide long non-coding RNA. RefSeq lists it as uncharacterized. The record is from RefSeq and is a predicted model, not a curated record. Lineage: Eukaryota; Metazoa; Chordata; Mammalia; Rodentia; Cricetidae.
GCGCAGACCUGCUCCCUGGAGGAAAGCAAGAGCCAGAAGGGGAGGACGGAAGCAGAGGCUGAGUCACCGAGCUUGCAAAUCGAGUUACUUUGGGCGCGCGCGUUGUCUGCUGACAGAUGCCCUGGGAGAAGAAGUGACAAGAUGGGCCCAUGCUGAACAGUUUCAGAAAACCUGUGACUUGAAGGCCAAGAUCAGAGUUCUAGACAUUAAACCAAGCUGUCUUGUCUCUGUGGACACCAGAGAACCCCAGUGGUGCUCUGUGGGAUUCACCCUGAAGACUGCAAAGCCAGACCUGGACUUCCCAUCUGCUUGGGGUCAGAGGAUGGAGAAGGGGGCAUGAAGAGACCUUGGCAUUCAGGAUGAGGUUGGAGACGAUCCAGGCUAAAAGCAGCUGUGGCCAGCGUCCUUACUUCCCAGGACCCGACUGCUGAGAAGGAGAAGUGGUCAGAUAUGCUGAGUUAGUGACUCUGUGGCUGCAGGGGACAUGGAAAGUGCUGCCUAGCUCUGUGAAAAUCCCCUGAGGCUGGUGGCUGCCUCAUGGUUCUCCUUUGGGUCCUCUGACUUGCUUAAAAACAUGUGUUCAUUUAGUGGGAGAAGGGUGUCAACUCCUUUGGCCAGAUGUGUUCUGGGGACUGAACCAAAGUCGUAGUUUUGGAGGCAAAUGACUUUAUCUGUUGAGACAUCUCCCUGGCCUCCCUUGAUGACCUCCCCCCCCCCACACACACACACAUACUCACAACAGGACCUUCUGCUAGAAUGGGAUGGGGGCUGGGCUCCUGGUUUCUGGGUUCACCUUGAGUCUGUAUUUUGCCUGCCCUACUAAAGAUGAGUGUCUUG